AGUGGAUGGGGAGCAACCUAGUUGUGCGUGUGUAAAGGUAGUGCCAAGAAAAGCGAUGAUCAUGUUGAAAAUCAAUUCCCGGUACCCGAAACCGACACAGGUGGGCAAGUAGAGAAUACUAAGGGGCGCGAGGUAACUCUCUCCAAGGAACUCGGCAAAAUGACCCCGUAACUUAGGGAGAAGGGGUGCCACCGAGAGGUGGUCGCAGUGAAGAGGCCCAGGCGACUGUUUAGCAAAAACAUAGGUCUCUGCAAACUCGAAAGAGGAGGUAUAGGGGCUGACGCCUGCCCAGUGCCGGAAGGUUAAAGAAGUUGGUCAGUCUUAGGAUGAAGCUAGCGACUGAAGCCCCGGUGAACGGCGGCCGUAACUAUAACGGUCCUAAGGUAGCGAAAUUCCUUGUCGGGUAAGUUCCGACCCGCACGAAAGGCGUAACGAUCUGGGCGCUGUCUCGGAGAGAAGCUCGGCGAAAUAGGAUUGUCUGUGAAGAUACGGACUACCUGCAUUUGGACAGAAAGACCCUAUGAAGCUUUACUAUAGCUUGGAAUUGUGUUCGGGCUUCCUGUGCGCAGGAUAGGUGGGAGGCGUAGAAGGUAUUCUUGUGGGGAUACUGGAGCCAACGGUGAGAUACCACUCUCAGGAGGCUAGAAUUCUAACUUAAUUAAGGACAGUUUCAGGUGGGUAGUUUGACUGGGGCGGUCGCCUCCAAAAAGGUAACGGAGGCGUACAAAGGUUCCCUCAGACUGGUUGGAAAUCAGUCGAAGAGUGCAAAGGCAGAAGGGAGCUUGACUGCGAGAAGUACAGUUCGAGCAGGGUGGAAACACGGUCUUAGUGAUCCGACGGUGCUGUGUGGAAGGGCCGUCGCUCAACGGAUAAAAGUUACUCUAGGAUAACAGGCUGAUCUCCCCCAAGAGUUCACAUCGACGGGGAGGUUUGGCACCUCGAUGGCGGCUCAUCGCAACCUGGGGCGGAAGUACGUCCCAAGGGUUGGGCUGUUCGCCCAUUAAAGCGGUACGUGAGCUGGGUUCAGAACGUCGUGAGACAGUUCGGUCCAUAUCCGAUGUAGGCGUGAGAAUAUUGAGAGGAGCCUUCCUUAGUACGAGAGGACCGGGAAGGACGCACCGCUGGUGUACCUGUUAUGAUGCCAAUUGUAAACGCAGGGUAGCCAAGUGCGGAGAGGAUAACCGCUGAAAGCAUCUAAGUGGGAAGCCCACCUCAAGAUGAGUAUUCUGGUGUAAGGUCACGGGAAGACGACCCGUAAAUAGGCACGAGGUGGAAGUGCAGAGAUGUAUGAAGCCGAAGUGUACUAAUAGACCGUCGGCUUGACC
Molecule: ribosomal RNA, 1325 nt
Filed under: metagenome
Description: bacterial LSU rRNA
Rfam family: Bacterial large subunit ribosomal RNA
Source: RNAcentral